UUUUUGCUAGGGUAAAUGUUUUCCAUAAGUUUUUUUUUUUCUUUUAUAUAUCGGAUAAAGGGAUUACAUUUGUUCUCCGAGUUUUUAUAGAAGCCCCAUCGCUAUCACCAUCACUAUUUUGAUUUUUCCAAGAUGGCCGUUUUUGUUUCGCGAACGUUCUGCGAGGAGAGUUCGGCGACUUGCGUGACUUACGAACAGAACUGCCUAAUUGUACCUACAAUUGAGUAAAUUGUUUUAGAGGAGGGGAUGCCCAGCUUCAGCAGCUUCAAUGUGCGAGGAACACUCCAGCCCCCUCAACAAAGCUGGAGGUGCGGAUAGAGUUGAGAUUUCAACUGACUAAUGAAUGCUGCAUCGGAUGUUAUGCAGUACAAGGUGAUCAUGCAGACGGCGACGCAAUGAAGCGUGGAAAUGGGCACCUAGGAGCUGCACCCUAAACCAGUUUUUCUCUGUUGCCGGUGCACAAGCAGGUAAGGGCGGAUAGCAUUCCUAGUGCCAAUUCCUUUGCGGUCAACGAAAAACGCUUUUUGAACAACGCUCUUUCUGUUUUAAGUAUUGUGCAGGCCUUAAGUUUACUAUAAGAACAACAACAACAAAAAAAUCACUUUCCACUGCAGGUAAUGUGCAUCCAACGUUCCACUGGAUCUGUCCGAAGGGCAGGCUGAUACUGCGGCAGACGCCACUGAGCGGACACACUGCAAAAAGGCGUCGGGCGUUUUCCGAAGUUUGUCAACUGACCUAGAUCUGAGAACGUUGGUACAUGUAUUGCUACCGUUGCCAAGCAGGACUGGAGAUUGUUAGAGUGUGAACAAUGUUCACACUUUGGUCAAUGCAAGCACAUCUUUUUUUUUUAGUAAUAUUGACUAACAAGAUUGCAACAAUCAAACAAGUUAACACCGAAAUGUUAAAAGCAAUAAAGAAAUUAAAGCCCGGCUGUUCUGCGAGUGCAGAUUUUAUAUCUUGCUUUAUUUUAAGGGCUGCACUGAUUUGUUUGCCCCUUCAUUAAAGGGGCCCUGCAACCAUAUUUAAGCGUCUACCUUUUUUGCGGUUUCCACGUCUCUUGGCGUUCAGGCAAGC
Molecule: long non-coding RNA, 1074 nt
Filed under: Ixodes scapularis (black-legged tick)
Lineage: Eukaryota; Metazoa; Arthropoda; Arachnida; Ixodida; Ixodidae
Description: uncharacterized LOC115316565, transcript variant X1
Source: RNAcentral